RNAcentral lists this ribosomal RNA (468 nucleotides) under uncultured bacterium. RNAcentral's name for it is "partial 16S ribosomal RNA". It matches the Rfam family "Bacterial small subunit ribosomal RNA", at positions 28 to 507 of the family's 1533-position model. The record is from RNAcentral.
GACGAACGCUGGCGGCGUGCUUAACACAUGCAAGUCGAACGGAAAGGCCCUGAUUUUGUGGGUUGCUCGAUUGCCGAACGGGUGAGUAUCACAUGUGUAACCUGUACUUGACUUUGGGAUAUCUUUAGGAAACUGGGGCUCUUACCGGAUAGGAGCUCCUGCUCCAUGUUGGUGGUUAGUAAGUUUCGGCGGUUGUGGAUGGACUCGCGGCUUACGCGCUUGUUGGUCUGGUAGGUGCAUACCAAGGUUUUGACGGGUAGCCGGCCUGAGAGGGGGACCGGCGACAAUGGGACUGAGAUAGGGCGCAGUCGCGAACGGGAGGCAGCAGGGGGGAAUAUUGCAGAACGGGGCGAAGCGUGAUGCAGCAACGCCGCGUGCGGGAUGACGGCCUACGGGUUGUGAACCGCUGUCGCCGGUGCCGAGCCGUGAGUGACGGUAAUUGAUAAAGAAGCACCGGCUAACUACGUG